Long non-coding RNA from Pezoporus flaviventris, 555 nucleotides. RefSeq lists it as uncharacterized. The transcript is spliced from 3 exons. NCBI's taxonomy places the organism in Eukaryota, Metazoa, Chordata, Aves, Psittaciformes, Psittacidae. The record is from RefSeq and is a predicted model, not a curated record.
AUGUAAAGCAGACUCAAACCCAGGUUGUCACGGGCAACACAAGUCAGCUCCCAAAGUCGCAUCAAACUUGCUGCUCUGCCUGGUGUCGUCUGAAGGCAGCAGCCAGCUCCAGCAGGGACAGGGAAACAUCCUGAUCUCUCACUGCUGGUGCCGGUUGUUGGCUGAGAGCUCAGCGCCGUCUCGCAGCUGAUUCAGCUCCUUAAGAAGAGGGUAAUUUUCUUUAUCCUGUUUGCUUCCUCGCAGGCUGCCGCAGCACCUUAACCCAGCUGGACCCUCCAGAGACCACCAGAAGAAGCAGAUGGUCAAGACAUGAGAUCAGAGCUGGAGACAGAGAUGUCAAUCAAUAGGUUGGAGUAGCAGGCGCUGGGAUGUGGAAUGGAACAGGCAGCUACAGCAGCGCUAAGCAGGACAGGGUGCACUGUCCCAGAAGACAAGGCUGCCUGGAGGGAUGGAAGUCUGCAGGAGCAGAGGCAGAGCACCCGUCACCACCCUGCUAACUGGCCAGUGCCGAGGUAACACCACUAAGGCACAUCUCAGUGUACCCCUGCCCUGCUG